UCUCUCAGUUCGGAUUGAAGUCUGCAACCCGACUUCAUGAAGCUGGAUUCGCUAGUAAUCGCGCAUCAGCCACGGCGCGGUGAAUACGUUCCCGGGCCUUGUACACACCGCCCGUCAAGCCAUGGGAGCCGGGGGUACCUGAAGUGCGUAACCGCAAGGAGCGCCCUAGGGUAAAACUGGUGACUGGGGCUAAGUCGUAACAAGGUAUC
Molecule: ribosomal RNA, 209 nt
Filed under: uncultured bacterium
Lineage: Bacteria
Description: partial 16S ribosomal RNA
Rfam family: Bacterial small subunit ribosomal RNA
Source: RNAcentral